AUUUAAAUCAGUCACUACAGCCAUGUUGCAGCAAGAAGAUAGAAGAGAGAUACAUCUAAACUUUACAAUAAUCACGGAUUCCAUUUCAAAAUUAUCUUCCAUUUCUCUCCUUCCAGAUGAACCACCAUAAUGUCGUAGGGAUUGUGUUCCAAACCAAGGUUCAAGCCUAUACUAAACCUUUCCUGUACCGGCAGAGCAGAGGACUUCAUGAGUUAAAAAAAGACCCAAGACACUGAACAUUACAUUCCAAAGUUGGGAGGUGAAACUGCAGCAGAAGAACAGAUGGUUGACAUCUUCACUUCCUUUUUCACAGAGAGCACACCUGUCGCAAAUGUUAAAGCCACUUUUAUGGAGAUUCUUUUAAGUUAAAAACAUCUUUCGUGUUUAAUUUUAAUUGGUCCUUGAAAAUAAGGACUAAAGUUCUUCAGAAGUAGCAUCUCAAGUUACUCAUUCAUGAUCUGCUCCGUAUUUAGAGUAAUUGAUCAUGAAGAUGAAGGACUACAUAGAUGCUUCCACAUACGAUACACCAAAGCAAGAAAUGUAGGGGUGGAGAAAAAAUAAGAAGAAAGAAAGAAGAAACUAAUCAGGAUGAGAAGAACGAAAUUUAAUACCUGAUGUCCUCUUUAAAGCCAAGCGUGCUAUGGCCCAUGAAACAUUUUUUAGCUUGACUUUUUUGUCCUGUCAAAGAGGUAAAUAAAGGGUUCAAAGGCAAGGUAAUUGAAGCAGGCAGUCUCCGGAAAUAAUCCACUGCUUUUGAUCGAUUGAGGAACACGAGAAAUGACAAACCUUCUUACUGCUUACUUGGUCAUCACUAUCUUCAUCAGAUGAUGAGGACUCG
Molecule: long non-coding RNA, 838 nt
Filed under: Nicotiana tabacum (common tobacco)
Lineage: Eukaryota; Viridiplantae; Streptophyta; Magnoliopsida; Solanales; Solanaceae
Description: long non-coding RNA (NTAB_LNC005492)
Source: RNAcentral